Molecule: long non-coding RNA, 1232 nt
Organism: Astatotilapia calliptera (eastern happy)
Lineage: Eukaryota; Metazoa; Chordata; Actinopteri; Cichliformes; Cichlidae
Source: Ensembl
UAGAUGUAAGUAAAUAAUGAUCAGUGUUUCUUGGCUUAGGGACAAAACAAUCAGUGUUCACUCAUGAUAAAGAAUAAGAAAGUACAUUUCUUGAAUGGAAUUACAAUUACAGGUCUCAGUAUACAUUUGCAAAUAAAACUGCUAUUAUAAUACUUUCUACAUUUUUAUGGAUCUGUGUAUGUAUGGCUGAACAUUGUUCCUCUCAAUGCUGCUCCCUAGUGGGAAUAUUAAGAAAACACCAAUUCAAUUCAAUUCAAUUUUAUUUAUAUAGCGCCAAAUCACAACAAAAGUCGCCUCACGGCGCUUCAACAUGGCAAGCAUCAUGAAGAAAGAUGAAGGAUGUGCACACAUACAGUACGAGUUAUCUUUCCUUAUAUCAGUAAAGCUGGAGUGCCUUUGCCACAGUUGGUGUAUGAAGAUAAUUAGCUGAUCACAUAUUCAGUUCAUAUUUCUAUUUGUGUUUAUGUAAAAAAAAUACACAUACAUUGCUGUGAAAAAGUAUUUGCACGGUUUCACUGUUUCCUGUUAAAUUUAUCAUGCUUACGUGUUUAGGGUUCAUCCAAAAAAAAUAAAAAAAUAAAUAAUAAUAAUAAUAAUAAUAAUAUUAGUCCUAAAAUAGCCCGAGUUAUGAUAAAAUAAAUUUUUUAAAUAAUGGUUUCAUUUAUUAAGGUAAAAAAAGAAAAAGCUGUCUAACCGUACCUGUCACUAUGUGAUAAGUAAUCGCUACCUAAACCUAGGGACUACAAUAGAGCAUUUGCAAUAACUAAUGAUGAGGCUGUCACAUUGCUGUGGAGGAAUUCUGGCCCACUCUCCUUUCUAAAAGUGUUUAAUUUAGCCACACUGGAAGGUUUUCAAACAUGUACAAUCUGUUUAAGGUGAUUCUAGAACAUUUUAUUCACAUUUAAAUCUGGACUUGGAUUAGGUCACUCUUAAACCUUAACCUUAUUUUCAUUGUUUUGACAUGAUGUGGACUUGCUAGUGAGUUUUGUCUUGCUGUGUAACCCAAGUGCACUUUUUAUCAGGCAAGAACUGAUGGACAUUCUCCUUUAGGAUUUUCUGGCAGAGAGCAGAAUUCAUGGUUUCAUCAAUUAUGUUGGAUCAUCCAGGUCCUGAAGCAGCAAAGCAGCCUCAGACCCUCACACCCCCACCAUGUUUAACUGUUCUUUUUUAUGAAAUGCUGUGUUAGGUUUAAGGUGUAAGGGAUGCAAACCUCCCAAAAAGUUCAAAUUUUG